Poecilia latipinna (sailfin molly) is the source of this 1557-nucleotide long non-coding RNA. RefSeq lists it as uncharacterized. The record is from RefSeq and is a predicted model, not a curated record. The transcript has 2 exons. Lineage: Eukaryota; Metazoa; Chordata; Actinopteri; Cyprinodontiformes; Poeciliidae.
UAAGCUGGUCGUUGUUUUUUUCCUACACUGGAUGGCAGCAUUUCCACACCAGGUGAAAUGUGGCUGUUCUCAACGGUGCAUCAUCUCCUCACUGGGUGAGAUUCGGAUGCGUCAGCCAGCAGAUCUCCACAGAUGGUUCAUCGUAGCAAGAUGUCACUGAGAGUCAUUAGGCUCGCUGCUUACAGUCAGGGUUGCCUAGGGAGAGUCCCACCGAGACCUCCGGGGUUACUGCGGCCUUCCCCCAGAAAGCAGAAAAGGCGGAGGAGUACGUAAAAAAAGUUGCAGUUGGCGAGCAUCCGACGGUAUUUGGUGGGAAGAGGACGGAGCUGUCCGCGACGCAUUUUCCCAGGCGCUCAGGUCCGCCGACACAAAGCUGAGGGAGGGGAGGCACAGAAAAAGGCAAGGGACGGCAGAGCUCCCGACCGUCAUCUCUUUAUCCAAGCAGUUGCUGGUCUGCAGCUACCUGUUAGCUCUCCGUGGAUGGGUGCACUAACUUUUCGUGCGUCUCCUGGAGUCUUUCUCCUUCUCUCUCUCUCUCUCUCUCUCUCUCUCUCUCUUUCUCAUAAAUGUACAAAAAGAUUUAAUUUUCAGGCUUCAAGACUCAACUGGAAUCACUGACUAGUUGUUAUUCCAGUUGAGUCCCCAGUGUGCACAUUGCUGUCUGUCUGUCCGUGUGGCGACAUGUUUUUUAAAAGGUUUUAAUCUCUUCCUUAUCCACGGACGACGCCAUGAGGCCACAGUGAGGCCAUGGACAUGGGAAAGGCUUUUCUCCACCUUUCCUUUUUCUCGAAUAAGGAAACAUUAGCUCGGCUAGCUGGCUAACAUCACUUCUGCGGGGAGCUUGGAUAACGACAUGUCCUUCAACUUGUGUCGAAGCCGCGUAGCUGGGAUUGGAACGUCACUCGCACAGCGCAGGAGAAAAGCUGUGGGCAGCGACGGAUGCGUUCCUGGACAAGCAGAAGACGGAGAAGGACCGUGCACGUCAGGUCUGAACCAGCACGGCGUCAUCUCCAAGUACACCGCCACGGCCAAGAGGCAGAUCAACAAGCUCAAAGGCCAUUGGAGAACUUUUAAGAGGCCAAAAUUGGUCUGACUUUAUUUUGUAAGAUUUUCUUUCUUUUUAAUUCAAAGCUAAGUCCAGAAAGCUUUCGAAUCAUAUGUUUCUGUUUAGGAGUGGUUUUUUUUUUUUUUUUUUUUUUUAAAAACAAGCUGUAAAACAAAAUUGGGCCCAAGGAAAAGCAGGAGAUCUCACUGCAAUGAUGAAAACGUGUCGGAAGUUUGCAAAGAGCUUUUUUGUAAAUGGUUCAUUUUAUUAUUUUUGUUUUAUUUUCUCCACACAUGUCCCACGUUCAGGUUCACUAUUCAAUUGAUUUGGUCUAACGCUAGAAUGAAACACUGGAAGGGUUUCAUGUCUAUAAAGCUGAAAGUUGUGUUUUUUAAAUGUGAUCAUUUGGAUCUUCACAUUUUGAUUCUUGGAGAUUUGCAACCAUGACACAUUUUCCUUCAGAGAAGCUUUUGUUUUUGUUUUUUUCUGAUAGAUUGUGGCAUUAUUUAUUA